This is a non-coding RNA of Elaeis guineensis (African oil palm), 3416 nucleotides long. The record is from RefSeq and is a predicted model, not a curated record. Lineage: Eukaryota; Viridiplantae; Streptophyta; Magnoliopsida; Arecales; Arecaceae.
CUUGCUGCAGGCACCGCCCCCACCGGUUGGCAAAGAUAUAAAAAAAAAGACAUAAACAUCGAUGAGCUCUCACUCCCUCCUCUGCAUCUCUCUCGGGAAAAGCCAAAGACUCUUAAAACACCUGCACCACCGCCACCACUCCCCAUGGCCAUACCUCACACCCCUCCCUUCCCCACAAAGUAACUAAGACCACACCCCAAAGUUAACCACUUUCCCCAUCUUCUCCAUUCCUUCCAACUCCCAUCUUGCUCAAACCCCCCAUCCAUGGACACCACCACAACCCUCCUCCUCCUCCUCCUCCUCCAUCCCCUACUCUUUUCUAAACCCCUCGUCGCUGCCUUCGUGCCCAAAGACGACUUCUUGAUCAACUGCGGCGGAGCUACCACCGUCACUUCCGACGACGGCCGAGCUUUUCUUCCCGACGACUCAGGUCACCGCUCGUCCUUCACUCUCUCCCCCAUUUCCCGCAAUGUCGUCGUCACCAACUCCUCCGAUCUCCACGGAAGCGCUCGACUUUUUACCCAAAAGUCCGAGUAUAGAUUCCGCAUUGGCCGAACCGGCAGACAUUUCUUGAGGUUGCAUUUUCGUCCGCUCCGUUCUCCUCUGUGCGACCCGAAAUCCGCAGUUUUUUCUGUCGCCGCCAAUGGAUUCACCCUCUUUCACACCUCUUCUCAUCCGAAAUCGAGCGCCAGCUCUUCCGUUCUCUUGAAGGAAUUUAUCAUCGCAGCAGGAUCGACUUCGAAUCCAUUAACACUGGUGUUCGCUCCAUCCCAUGGCUCGGUUGCUUUCAUCAAUGCGAUCGAGGUCAUAUCGAUGCCGGACGGAAUGAUUCCCUCCGUCGCAUCCCCUGUUCCUCCGGGAGCAGGCGUCAACAUCUCUUCCGAUGUCGCCUUCGAGACCGUUUAUAGAAUUAAUGUCGGCGGUCCGAGUCUGGGUCCAAGAAAUGACAGCUUGUGGAGGGCUUGGGAGACCGAUCGGCAGUUCUUGAUCAACUCGGCUUCGGCGCACACCGUCUCCACCAACCCAGCUUCCAUCAGAUACCCCGCCGGAGUUCCUGCCCAUAUGGCGCCAAAUUUGGUCUAUGCAACUGCGCAAGAAAUGGCGGAUGCUAAUGUCGGUAACCAGAAGUUUAAUAUCUCCUGGUUGUUUAAAGUUGAUUCGCAUUUUAAUUAUCUGGUUCGGCUACAUUUCUGUGAUUUUUUGAAUGUAGCAGUGCACAGUAUGCUAUUCGAUGUCUAUAUCAAUAACCAGUCUGCUUUGAGCUUGUUUGAUAUCACAACCAAGACAGAGUUAUCGACUGCUUACUUUGUCGAUUUCGUUGUGAAUCUUCCGAUGGAGUCGCAUAAAAUUAUGGUUCAAGUAGGCCCUUCCCAGGUUUCUAAUUCCCCUCCUAAUGCAAUUCUUAAUGGAGUCGAGAUUUUGAAGUUUAUUGAUUCGGAGAAUGCUUUCGAUGCAUCUCAUGGUGCACGAUUGAUCGGUGUGGAGGAGAGAAAGAAGAAAAAGAAGGUGAUACUUGUCAUUCCAUCUUGUUUGGGAGGUGUAGCACUGCUGGGUUUGGUUAUUUCAGUGUUCUUAUUGUACUUUGGUCGUCGAAAGAAGGCGAAGAAGGCUGCUGUGGCCCGGUUGCCUUCCCCUGUGGCUCUUCAUGCUCACACGGGCAACUCGGAAACAAAGGUGUCUGCUGGUAGUUAUGCUUCAUCAAAGCCUUCUCAGGGUUUAGGCCAGUUACUAGCCUUCUCGGAAAUACAGCAAGUGACUAAAAACUUUGAUGAGAGCUUGGUUAUAGGCGUGGGUGGCUUCGGAAAGGUGUACAAAGGGGUGUUGGAUAAUGGCAUUGUGGUGGCGGUGAAACGGGGGAACCCCCGAUCCCAGCAAGGAUUGGCAGAGUUUAGGACGGAGAUAGAGAUGUUAUCCAAGCUGCGCCACCGCCACUUGGUUUCUCUAAUAGGUUAUUGUCAUGAAGCCAAUGAGAUGGUGCUUGUCUAUGAAUACAUGGCUGGGGGUCCCCUCCGUAAGCAUCUGUAUGGCUCUGAUCUUCCAGCUCUCUCAUGGAAGCAGAGGCUUGAGAUCUGCAUAGGAGCUGCUAAAGGUUUGCAUUACCUCCAUACUGGGGCUGCUGAAACUAUUAUCCACAGAGACGUCAAGACAACUAACAUUCUCCUCGAUGAGAAUCUAACUGCUAAGGUUGCUGAUUUUGGUUUGUCCAAGUCCGGGCCAACUCUUGAGCAGACCCAUGUGAGUACAGCAGUGAAAGGAAGCUUUGGCUAUCUUGAUCCAGAGUACUUCAGAAGGCAGCGUCUUACAGAAAAAUCAGAUGUGUACUCUUUUGGAGUUGUUCUGAUGGAGGUUUUGUGUGCUAGGCCUGCAAUCAACCCAGCACUCCCAAGAGAUCAGGUAAACAUAGUGGAGUGGGCAACAAACUGGCAAAAGCGGGGUCAGUUAGAGCAGAUAAUUGAUCCGCAUCUUGUGGGCACCAUUAGUCUUGAUUCGCUACGAAAGUUUGGUGAAACAGCAGAAAAGUGUUUAGCAGAGCAUGGGGCUGAGAGACCAUCAAUGGGAGAUGUUUUAUGGAACUUGGAAUAUGCCCUGCAACUGCAGGAGUCUUUCACAAGAGUAAUUGGGGAGGGGAGCAGCACAAAUGGCAUUGAGGACCUCCCAGAAUGGAUUCCACAAAUAGAGACUAGAGAGCACGAUAACUUCAGUGUUGUCAGUGAUGGAACUGAUGGGGUGACAAGUAGAGUAUUCUCACAGUUGAUCGAUCCAAGGGGAAGAUAGGUAGCCCAUAGGGCCUUGCAUCAUGACUUGAUAGAGAAUCAUAUUAAUGGUUGUUGAGGAGACUGGAAACCUAUCGGCAAGCAUGACAUGCAGUUUGACAUUCCACCUUCUUCUGGUGAUUGUAACUUCUUCAAGGAUCAGAACUGUUAACAAGUGUUUCAGAUGAUGCAUGGACAUGGUCAUAGCUGCCUGCUGGAAUGAACGUCAAUUAUAUGCAUGUUUAAAUGUGUCGUUGAAUCAGCAUCAUAUCUUCUGGAGGGAAUCUAGUGAGGCACAGAACUCUCUACCGCACCAUGUCCCUAAAGGGCAGCACUUAGAAGUAGGAACAUAACUGCAGUUACCGCAUGAAUGGCACAAUGGAUUCCCCAGAAUGGACAGCAUAUCGAUGGAUCAUAAGGAUUUCAGGAUUGUUAACGAUGUCGGAUUUUAAUGUAGCCUCAAGUGCUGGAGAUUUCUUAUAUCCAAGGGAAAAAUAGAUACAGCAGUGCGGAGCUAGAUCCUACACAUUAUACUACUGUUCGGUGACAAACUACAAAGCACUGAUCUGACUGUAUUUUUUUCCUUCUGCAUGUGUUUUUACUGCAGUUCAUGUAAAGCCUUUAUUUGUGGACAGAAUCAUACAAACUACUAUCAAACAAAGC